This 440-nucleotide ribosomal RNA is filed under the name uncultured bacterium. RNAcentral describes it as "partial 16S ribosomal RNA". It matches the Rfam family "Bacterial small subunit ribosomal RNA", at positions 338 to 795 of the family's 1533-position model. The record is from RNAcentral.
CCUACGGGAGGCAGCAGUGGGGAAUAUUGGACAAUGGGGGAAACCCUGAUCCAGCGACGCCGCGUGAGUGAAGAAGUAUUUCGGUACGUAAAGCUCUAUCAGCAGGAACGAAAAUGACGGUACCUGACUAAGAAGCCCCGGCUAACUACGUGCCAGCAGCCGCGGUAAUACGUAGGGGGCAAGCGUUAUCCGGAUUUACUGGGGGGAAAGGGAGCGUAGACGGCAGCGCAAGUCUGGAGUGAAAUGCCGGGGCCCAACCCCGGAACUGCUCGGGAAACUGUGAAGCUGGAGUGCAGGAGAGGUAAGCGGAAUUCCUGGUGUAGCGGUGAAAUGCGUAGAUAUCAGGAGGAACACCGGCGGCGAAGGCGGCUUACUGGACUGUAACUGACGUUGAGGCUCGAAGGCGUGGGGAGCAAACAGGAUUAGAUACCCUAGUAGUC